AGAGUUUGAUCCUGGCUCAGGACGAACGCUGGCGGCGUGCUUAACACAUGCAAGUCGAACGGAAAGGCCCCUUCGGGGGUACUCGAAUGGCGAACGGGUGAGUAACACGUGGGUAAUCUGCCCUGCACUUCGGGAUAAGCCUGGGAAACUGGGUCUAAUACCGGAUAUGACCACGAGGCGCAUGCCUUGUGGUGGAAAGCUUUUGCGGUGUGGGAUGGGCCCGCGGCCUAUCAGCUUGUUGGUGGGGUGACGGCCUACCAAGGSGACGACGGGUAGCCGGCCUGAGAGGGUGUCCGGCCACACUGGGACUGAGAUACGGCCCAGACUCCUACGGGAGGCAGCAGUGGGGAAUAUUGCACAAUGGGCGCAAGCCUGAUGCAGCGACGCCGCGUGGGGGAUGACGGCCUUCGGGUUGUAAACCUCUUUCAGCAGGGACGAAGCGCAAGUGACGGUACCUGCAGAAGAAGCACCGGCCAACUACGUGCCAGCAGCCGCGGUAAUACGUAGGGUGCGAGCGUUGUCCGGAAUUACUGGGCGUAAAGAGCUCGUAGGUGGUUUGUCGCGUUGUUCGUGAAAACCGGGGGCUUAACCCUCGGCGUGCGGGCGAUACGGGCAGACUGGAGUACUGCAGGGGAGACUGGAAUUCCUGGUGUAGCGGUGGAAUGCGCAGAUAUCAGGAGGAACACCGGUGGCGAAGGCGGGUCUCUGGGCAGUAACUGACGCUGAGGAGCGAAAGCGUGGGGAGCGAACAGGAUUAGAUACCCUGGUAGUCCACGCCGUAAACGGUGGGUACUAGGUGUGGGUUUCCUUCCUUGGAAUCCGUGCCGUAGCUAACGCAUUAAGUACCCCGCCUGGGGAGUACGGCCGCAAGGCUAAAACUCAAAGGAAUUGACGGGGGCCCGCACAAGCGGCGGAGCAUGUGGAUUAAUUCGAUGCAACGCGAAGAACCUUACCUGGGUUUGACAUGCACAGGACGCCGGCAGAGAUGUCGGUUCCCUUGUGGCCUGUGUGCA
RNAcentral lists this ribosomal RNA (1013 nucleotides) under uncultured Mycobacterium sp. RNAcentral describes it as "bacterial SSU rRNA". It matches the Rfam family "Bacterial small subunit ribosomal RNA", at positions 8 to 1036 of the family's 1533-position model. The record is from RNAcentral. Lineage: Bacteria; Bacillati; Actinomycetota; Actinomycetes; Mycobacteriales; Mycobacteriaceae.